AGGACGAACGCUGGCGGCGUGCUUAACACAUGCAAGUCGAGCGGUAAGGCUCCUUCGGGAGUACACGAGCGGCGAACGGGUGAGUAACACGUGAGCAAUCUGCCCUUCUCUUCGGAAUAAGCGUUGGAAACGACGUCUAAUGCCGAAUACGGCCUCCUUUCGCAUGAUCGGAGGUGGAAAGCUCCGGCGGAGAAGGAUGAGCUCGCGGCCUAUCAGCUAGUUGGUGUGGGUAAUGGCCCACCAAGGCGACGACGGGUAGCCGGCCUGAGAGGGUGACCGGCCACACUGGGACUGAGACACGGCCCAGACUCCUACGGGAGGCAGCAGUGGGGAAUAUUGGACAAUGGGCGAAAGCCUGAUCCAGCAACGCCGCGUGAGGGAUGACGGCCUUCGGGUUGUAAACCUCUUUCAGCAGGGACGAAGCGAAAGUGACGGUACCUGCAGAAGAAGGACCGGCCAACUACGUGCCAGCAGCCGC
RNAcentral lists this ribosomal RNA (478 nucleotides) under uncultured bacterium. RNAcentral's name for it is "SSU rRNA". It matches the Rfam family "Bacterial small subunit ribosomal RNA", at positions 26 to 518 of the family's 1533-position model. The record is from RNAcentral.